ACUCCUACGGGAGGCAGCAGUGGGGAAUAUUGCACAAUGGGGGAAACCCUGAUGCAGCCAUGCCGCGUGUGUGAAGAAGGCCUUCGGGUUGUAAAGCACUUUCAGUAGGGAGGAAGGUAGUGUAGUUAACACCUGCAUUAUUUGACGUUACCUACAGAAGAAGCACCGGCUAACUCCGUGCCAGCAGCCGCGGUAAUACGGAGGGUGCGAGCGUUAAUCGGAAUUACUGGGCGUAAAGCGCAUGCAGGCGGCCUGUUAAGUCAGAUGUGAAAGCCCGGGGCUUAACCUCGGAAUUGCAUUUGAAACUGGCAGGCUAGAGUCUUGUAGAGGGGUGAGAUUAUCAGGUGUAGCGGUGAAAUGCGUAGAGAUCUGAAGGAAUACCAGUGGCGAAGGCGGCCCCCUCGAG
This 406-nucleotide ribosomal RNA is filed under the name uncultured bacterium. RNAcentral's name for it is "bacterial SSU rRNA". It matches the Rfam family "Bacterial small subunit ribosomal RNA", at positions 335 to 734 of the family's 1533-position model. The record is from RNAcentral.